Long non-coding RNA from Cephus cinctus (wheat stem sawfly), 2646 nucleotides. RefSeq lists it as uncharacterized. Lineage: Eukaryota; Metazoa; Arthropoda; Insecta; Hymenoptera; Cephidae. The transcript is spliced from 4 exons. The record is from RefSeq and is a predicted model, not a curated record.
UUACUAAUUAGGAUAAUUUGUCAAUUUUUAAAUUCGAACAUCUUUAAAGAUGUAUUUACAUUCCUUAUUUUUUUUAAAAUACGGCUUACUGGCAAGAGAGGAAAAUAAUAUAUGUGAAUUCUUGUACGGUAUCCUUAUACGAUUUAUGAAUAUUGAAUAUUAAUGCAAUUGAACUUGACUCGGGAAAUUAUAAAUUGCAGAUAUAGUCGUCUGCAAGUCGGUGGAAUAAUUCUGGAAUUGUCAUAUAAGAUGGCGCUGACGUAUACUUCGAUCCACGAAGUGGCUGAGGAUUCUAAAGAAAAAGUCAGACGGAGCAGAGUCAAACCUAGAGAGAUCAUCCGAUCACAACUGACCUUGAGCUGGUUGCACGAGCAGCGAGGAAUAUUUAGGUCGCCACCUGCUGCAAUCCUGUCAAAACACUCCUCGAGCAGAUGCACCGUGACCAAGAAGUUGCGGCGAGGCGGAUGACGCGUGCACACCAGUAGGCGCAAGAAGUGGACGGAGGAGAAGGAGGCGGAGCCCGAAAGAUUUUGUAUGAUCGAGAAAGAAAAUUUGGAGAAAAAAAAUGGUAAAUCGUAUUGCACGCUUUAUUAAGCUUGACGGAUAUGACGUCAUCUGUCGAAUGAUCUCCUUUUGUCGACUCCUUUUGUCAGUCGCUAACCGACACCCUGGAUGGGUUAGGUUAAGCUAGGUACGUACAAACGCCUUCCUCGACUAACCAGUGUAAAUGGGAUUCAGCAUUGUAAAGCGCAUUUCCUUUCCGGUGAACUCCAUUGAGCUUCGAUGACAGACGGUCUAUCAAUCACCAGGUUGGUCUCCCGGAACGUAAAGCACGUCGCACGCGGAUCAAAUUUAAAAAGCAGGAUCCGACCGUGUAAUAACUCAAAGGCUUUUAAACGUAAGGUGUUAGCUCUGACGGAAAGGAUAUGAUCCUGGAGGACACGCGACAAUUUUUCCUGCAGAAUAAGGUGUCCAGGACGUCAGAUGCGUGCAGGUACAGGUACAAAGACCUUUUAUGAUGGAGCAAGAAGAGUGCGAUUAUAGUGAAGGAUAAAUGGGGCCCAGGUUAAGGGCCUUAACAGGUAACGAGUAGAUGCAACAUUGAGGUCUAUAGUCCCAAGUGAAUCUAGUCUGUAUAUGGUCGGGCUUCCAGUGUAUUCCUGCCGUGCGUCCAGUCAAUGGACAUGAUUCACUGCUGCCGGGUAUGCAGUUCGACCCAGGAGGCGAGGAGUCAGCAAUGCCAGAACCGACUGACUGGUAGACAGAGAGUCAAACGAAUGGAUGGAUGGAUGGAGUGAAAAGGAUUGAACCGAGGAGAAGACGCAAUCUCGCCUUCAAUUGCCCGUCCGCGGAACGGCAAGAACGCUAAAACCCAUUGGACUUGUAUAAAAGGGGACACGGAUUCCGUCGACUAGACUUCAAUGGAACAGACGUUGAAUCAUCGCGGUGCGUUUACGCGACCGCACUUAGUGCCCCAUGACGCCGCAGUCGCUACCACUAAGACUUCAACUACCAGCCGGUACCAGGAGUAACUAGCGUCGGUGUCUGUAAUGUUAACGUCGUCACCAAUGGCGUUACACGUGUUCUUUUCCUGAAACCGAUCACCAAGGAUCACCGGUAUUUUACGAAAUCGUCGUCCUUUGUACAUCUUGAAUUGCCCUUCGCAAAGUGGAAGACAAGAUACAAAAGGAUAUUGAGGGGAAGUUGGUUCUUCAUGUUCAUGAUAGUUUUGGUCUUACGAUUAGAAUAUUUUUUAGUGUGAAUUAAGAGCUAGGGUGAGCCCAUGGGAUACAAGGUCCCCUUAUGGUUUACUACUUCCUGUCUGAAGUCAAUCUUCUUAUUUGUAGUCUUGUGUUAGUCGAUAAAAUACGAGUUGAAAAUAUCUGUUACAUUUAAGUAUAUGAUUAUACGCUGUAUUUGAGGUUAGGUUAGGUUAGAUAUUCAUGUUUUAUCUCUAGUUUCAUGUAGGACUCACUCGGAACAAGGAUAAUUAAUAGGUCCAUUAUAUUCAGACGAUGCGAAACGGUUCCUCGUCUCAGAGGAAGGUGGAGUUUGGUUAGGUAGGUUAAGGUGAGGUUAGGUCAGGGUAACGUCACAGGUGUCUUUCUAGGCUGUUGUAAUACGUAGAUACCCCGUCGCAAGGACAAGAAAGAGGUCUGGGGUGAGGUCGCCAUUGUCUUUCGAUACAGGGAGCCUCUUGGUUUCUUCGUGAAUGGAAGAGGGAGCCACGUGCAGAAAUUCGGAUGGGCAGGACUCGGCUGGGCCACUUUGGGCCCUGCUGACGUUUUUGUCGCAAUCAGGCCCAUUUGAGCACAUUGAUCGCAUUAGGUUAUACGGGCCGCCGUACGGAAUACUAAGCAAUCCUGCACCACCACUUCUUUCUUUAUCUCCUCCUUGAUUUACCGCACCGUUCCUGCUGCACCCUAUGCGUUCCAGACAUAUUAUGGGUUGUACGAUACUCCUUUAAAUGACCAAAAACAUUUUAUUACUGAAUCCUCGCGCAUAGUCGAUUCACUUUGACUACUCUUGUCAUUCCAUGAACUUUACGGCAGGUCGAAUAUCGUUUUUAUAGUCAAAUGCGUUUCUCAUAGAGCCAUCGAAUAUUGGAAAUAAUUAUUUAUAAGAAAAAUUGUAAAGAAAUUUCAC